GAGCUCUGACGGCCUCUCCUGGGCUCCUGGCGGCGGGCUCGUCAUUUACCAUUGGGAGACUGUGGCCGCUAGUUGUGGUUUCUCAGUGACCAGUAUGAAGAAGGGAGGACCCAAGAAGGAGGGUGGAGACACCGAGCCGGCUGGCUCCCCGGCCAAGGAGGACAAGAAGCCUGCCAAGGAGGCCGCCCCCAAGAAGGAGGCCGCCGCGAAAGAAAAGGGCGGCAAAAAAGGCGGUAAGAAGUGAUCUUUGGCGAAGUUCGCCAACAAGAGCUUGCUUCAUGUCACAUUCCACUCCUCAAGGCACCUCAAGGCACCAAUUCAAGGCAUAUGGAGAAAAACGCUUCCACCAUUCCCUGCCAGCAAACGCUUGAGAACAGGCAGAACUGCUUUGUUGGGCACGCCAAGGAGAGAGCAAUGUGACUUGUGAGCGU
Amphibalanus amphitrite is the source of this 431-nucleotide long non-coding RNA. RefSeq lists it as uncharacterized. The transcript has 3 exons. The record is from RefSeq and is a predicted model, not a curated record. NCBI's taxonomy places the organism in Eukaryota, Metazoa, Arthropoda, Thecostraca, Balanomorpha, Balanidae.